Merluccius polli (Benguela hake) is the source of this 72-nucleotide non-coding RNA. The record is from the annotation of a GenBank genome assembly. NCBI's taxonomy places the organism in Eukaryota, Metazoa, Chordata, Actinopteri, Gadiformes, Merlucciidae.
UAGCUCAACUGGUAGAGCACGGCAUUAACACCAGCCAGGGUUAGGGGUUCGAAUCCCACCGGGGACCGCCCA